AGCCAAAAAGCUAGCCCCCCCCCACCAAAGAAAACAAAUCAUUAUUAAUACCCCCAAAUACACCACCCUUAAACAAACAAACCAUUUUUCCCCCUUAGUAUGGGCGACAGAAAAG
This 115-nucleotide ribosomal RNA is filed under the name Epigonus atherinoides. RNAcentral's name for it is "partial 16S rRNA". The record is from RNAcentral. Lineage: Eukaryota; Metazoa; Chordata; Actinopteri; Acropomatiformes; Epigonidae.